Molecule: unclassified non-coding RNA, 352 nt
Filed under: soil metagenome
Description: partial contains 5.8S ribosomal RNA, internal transcribed spacer 2, and large subunit ribosomal RNA
Rfam family: 5.8S ribosomal RNA (bases 1-120)
Source: RNAcentral
GAUGAAGAACGUAGCGAAAUGCGAUAAGUAAUGUGAAUUGCAGAAUUCAGUGAAUCAUCGAAUCUUUGAACGCACAUUGCGCCCGCCAGUAUUCUGGCGGGCAUGCCUGUUCGAGCGUCAUUACAACCCUCAGGCCCCCGGGCCUGGCGUUGGGGAUCGGCGGAGCCCCCCGUGGGCACACGCCGUCCCCCAAAUACAGUGGCGGUCCCGCCGCAGCUUCCACCGCGUAGUAGCUAACACCUCGCGACUGGAGAGCGGCGCGGCCACGCCGUAAAACACCCAACUCUUCUGAAGUUGACCUCGAAUCAGGUAGGAAUACCCGCUGAACUUAAGCAUAUCAAUAAGCGGAGGA